Molecule: RNA transcript, 4866 nt
Organism: Aethalodelphis obliquidens (Pacific white-sided dolphin)
Lineage: Eukaryota; Metazoa; Chordata; Mammalia; Artiodactyla; Delphinidae
Gene: TCOF1
Gene name: treacle ribosome biogenesis factor 1
Exons: 27
Source: RefSeq, a predicted model, not a curated record
GGCGUGCAGGUAAGCCGACAAGCCGGGGGUUGCGGGCAUGGCCGAGGCCAGGAAGCGGCGGGAGCUGCUUCCCCUGAUCUACCAGCAUCUGCUGCAGGCGGGCUUUGUGCGCGCGGCGCGGGAAGUGAAGGAGCAGAGCGGCCAGAAAAGUUUCCUGACUCAGCCUGUAACCCUUUUGGACAUCUACACACACUGGCAACAAACCUCGGAGAUUGGCCAGAAGCGGAAGGCAGAGGAAGAUGCAGCCCUGCAGGCCAAGAAGACCCGCGUGUCAGACCCCAUUACCAGCUCCGAGAGCUCAGAAGAGGAGGAGGAGGUGGCGCAGGAGGCAGAAGCAGGAACCACCAAAGCCAUCCCGGCACUAGCAUCUACCAACUCCUCAGCCACGGGGAUGGUUUUGCCUUCAAGUGUGAAAGAAAAAGCCAAGGCAAAGACCAAGAAAGCCAGCAAGACAGUGAACUCCACGGCACACCCUGCCUCCGGGAAGGCAGUGGCCCACCUCCUCACCAGGAAGUCACCCCAGAAGGCGGCAGGGCCCUCGGCAAAUACCAUCCUGGUCUCAGAAACUGAGGAGGAGGGCGGUGUCUCGGCCCUCAGAAUCACUGCCAAGCCUGGAAUGGCGGCCGCCAGCCAGGCCGCCAGCUCCAGCGAAGACACCUCCGGCUCGAGCGAUGAGACGUACGUGGAGGUGAAACCUGCAGUGAAACCACCACAGGUCAAAGCCUCGGCAGCUGCGGCCAAGGAGUCUCCAAGGAGAAGGGCAGCCCCGACCCCAGGGAAGGCGGGAUGUGUGACACCCCAAGUCAGAGGGGGUGCCGUGACCCCAGCCAGCAGGGCCAAGAAGCCAGAAGAGGUCUCAGAGAGCAGCGAGGAGUCCGAGAGUGAGGAGGGGGCCCCUGCGGGGACACCCAGCCAGGUGAAGACCUCCCAGAAACCUGUCCAGGUCAGAGCUGCCUCGGGUCCUGCCAAGGGGACCCCUGGGAAGGGGGCCACCCCAGCACCCCCUGGGAAGGCAGGGAGGCCAGAGGAGGACUCGGAGAGCAGCAGCGAGGAGUCAGACAGCGAGGAGGAGACGCCAGCUGCCCAGACCCUGCUGCAGGCAAAGCCCUCAGGGAAGCUCCCCCAGGUCAGAGCCACCGCAGCAGCACCUGCCCAGGUGCUUUCCCCUGGGAAAGGGGCCCCUCCAGCACCCCGUGGCAAGGCAGGGCCUGCAGCCAUCCAGGCCCAGACCAGGGGGCAGGAGGAGGACUCAGAGAGCAGCAGCGAGGAGUCAGACAGCGAGGGGGAGGCGUCCACAGCCGUGCCCCACACCACGAGCCUGGCUCAGGCAAAGCCCUUGGGGAAAAACUCCCAGGUCAGAGCUGCCUCAGCCGCAAGCACGGGGCCCUCAGCGAAGAGCGCUGUCCCAGCGCUCCCUCAGAAGGCAAGGGCUGUAGCCGCCCAGGUGGCAAAGUGGGAGGAGGACUCGGAGAGCUGCAGCGAGGAGGAGUCGGACAGCGAGGGGGAGGCGCUGAGAACAGCAGCCUUGACCCAGGCAAAGUCCUCGGGGAAAGUCCUGCAGGUCAGACCUGCCUCAGGUCCCACCCAGGGCCCCCCUCAGAAGGCCGGGCCUGCAGCCGCCCAGGUCAAGACCCAAAGGUCCAAGGAAGACUCGGAGAGCAGUGAGGAGGAGUCAGACAGUGAGGACGAGGCCCCCACAGCCAAGACUCCAGCCCAGGCAAAAUCAGCUGUGAAAACUUCUCAGACCAAGGUCUCCCCAAGGAAGGGCACCCCCAUUACACCCGCAUCUGCCAAGGUCCCACCAGUGCAAGUAAGCGCACCAGCCCCCUGGAAAGCAGGAACGGUGACUUCGCCAGCCUGCACAUCAUCCCCAGCCGUGGUCAGGGGCACCCAGAGGCCAGAGGAGGACUCUUCAAGCAGCGAGGAGCCAGAGAGCGAGGAGGAGACGGCUCCUGCCACAUCUGUGGGACAGGUGAAGUCUGUAGGGAAAAGCCUCCCGGUGAAAGCUGCCUCAGCGCCCACCAAGGGGCCCUCAGGGCAACGGACCACUCCAGGGCUCCCUGGGAAGGCAGGACCUGCCGUGGCCCAGGUCAAAGCUGAGGUGCAGGAAGACUCAGAGAGCAGUGAGGAGGAGUCGGACAAUGAGGAGGCGGCCUCAGCUGCAGCACAGGUGAAGACCUCAGUGAAAACCACUCAGACCAAAGCCAACCCAGCUGCCACCAGAGUGGCUUCAGCCAAAGGGGCAGCAUCAGCUCCUGGAAAAGGGGUUUCUGCAGCUGCUCAAGCCAAAGUGGGGUCCCCAGCCAAGGUAAAGCCACCAGCAAGAGCCCCCCAGAGCAGUGCCGUCUCGGGCAGGGGCCAGGUGUCUGUGCUGGCUAUGGGGAAGGCACUGGCUGCAGCAGCCCAGGCCCAGCUGGGGCCGGUCGGGGGCCCACAGGAGGACUCGGAGAGCAGUGAGGAGGAGUCGGACAGUGAGGGAGAGGCGCCCGCUCAGGCGAAGCCCUCAGGGAAGACCCCCCAGGUCAGAACUGCCUCAGCCUCCGCCAAGGGGUCCCCCAGGAAAGGGGCUGCCCCAGCACCCCCUGGGAAGGCAGGAGCCCCAGCCGCCCAGGCCGGGAAGCGGAAAGAGGACUCGGAGAGCAGCAGCGAGGAGGAGUCAGACAGUGACGGGGAGACGCCAGCAGCUGUGCCCCCAGCCCAGAAGGAGGGUAACUCCAAAACUGCCAGAAGCAAGACCCUGGCCCCAGCGCCCCCGGAGAAGAAGGCAGAGGGGUCCUCAACCAGCAGUGAUGAGCUGCCAGCGAGACAGGUGAUUAAAACCCCUCUGAUUUUUGUCGACCCUAAUCGUAGUCCAGCUGGCCCAGCUGCUACCCCCGCCCAAACCCAGGCUACAAGCACCCCGAGGAAGGCCCAGGCCUCAGAGAGCACACCCAGGAGCUCCUCUGAGAGUGAGGAUGAGGACGUGAUCCCCGCUACGCAGUGCUUGACUCCUGCCAUUAGGACCAGCGUGGCAACUGUGCCCACGGCCCACCCCAGGGCAGCCCUCAGAGCCAGCAUGGUGGGGGCCGGCAGCAAUGAGGACACCAGUCGGGUGUCUGAAGGCAAGAAACAGGAGACGCCAGCCACUCAGGUGACAAAGAGGAACCCAACUCACCUCCCGCUGACCCAGGCUGCCCUGAAGGUCCUUGCCCAGAAAGCCAGUGAGGCCCAGCCUCCUGCUGCCAGGACCCUGUCUUCAAGUGGGACCGACAGUGCUCGGGGAACACUGCCCAUGACGAGUCCCCAGAGCACCCCCGCGCAGGCCAGAGGGGCCAACAAGCUCAGAAAGCCUGAGGUUCCUGCAACCCAGCGGGCCAUAGCCACUCCCUCGGGACGCCCCAAGGCCAAGGCCUCUGGGACCUCAGAUGACAGCAAGGACAGCAGUGGCAGCUCUUCAGGGAGUGAAGAAGAUGCUGAGGGGCCCCAGGUGGCCCCAUUGACCCACAGGCCAGUAGGUCCAGCCCCCUCCAGGAGGGAGACGUUGGUGGAAGAGACCACAGCAGACUCCAGCGAUGAUGAGGUGGUGGCACCUUCCCAGUCUCUCCUCUCAGGUUAUGUGACCCCUGGGCUGACUCCGGCCAGUUCCCAGGCUUCAAAGGCCACUCCCAAGCCAGACCCCAACCCCUCGGUUUCCUCUACUCCGGCCACCGGAGAUGCCCCAGAUGGCAAGCAGGAAGUGGAGCCCCAACAAGCAGCAGGCACCAUGUCCCCUAAAACAGGCAGAAGAGAGGCUAGCGCCACACCUCAGAAGACCGGGAAGGGGCCCAGGAGCCCCCAGGCCUCCAUGCAGGCGCUGCAGAGCGACAUCACCCGGCGCCUGCUGAGCGAGCCCUGGCCCCUGAGUGAGGCGCAGGUGCAGGCGUCGGUGGUGAAGGUGUUGGCGGAGCUGCUGGAGCAGGAGAAGAAGAAGGCCGUGGGUGCGGCCAAGGAGGGCAGCCGGAAGGGCCGCCUGGGCAACAAGCGGAAGCUCUCCGAAGACCAGACAGCCGCCGGUGCCCCCAGGAGCAAGAAGAAGAAGCAGCUGGCGGCCGGGGAUGGCGGGGAGCGUGUGGUGUCCCCAGAAAAGGCCCCCAGGACUUCUAAGGGGAAAUCCAAGAGGGACAAAGCGAGUGGUGACAUGAAGGAGAAGAAGGAGAAGGAGUCUCCCGGCUCCCAGGGGGCCAAGGAGAAGCCAGAAGGGGAGCCGGGGAAGGUGAAGGGUGAGGGGGGAGACCAAGGCAACCCAAAGAGCAAGAAGGAGAAGAAGAAAGCCGACAAGAGUAAAAAAAAAAGACAAGGAAAAAAAAGAAAAGAAGAAGAAAGCAAAAAAGGCCUCAACCAAAGACCCUGACUCACCAUUGCAGAAGAAAAAGAAGAAAAAGAAGAAGACGGCAGAGCAGACUGUCUGAGGGACGCCAGGCGGCAGAAGAUGAUGGCCAGCUGCGGUGUCCGUGCUGGCCAAGCCAGUGAGCCCUGCAGAAAGGCUGGUCCCGGGAGGAGGAACCACGCCCAGCUCCCGUGACCUCCACUCACUGACCCUGGCCUGACUUCUGUGCCGACAAAGGAUGCCUCGUAUGGACAUGUACAAUACAUAUAUAUAUUUUUUAAGUGACCUGCCCCUCCCUUCUCAGACCCAACAUGCCCAGAGGUCUCGGGACUUGCCACCUCUGCCCUGCAGACCCAGUGAGGCUCAGCCUGCGACUCCUUCCAUGCCCCUGGUCUCCAGCUAUGCUGAGGCUUUGUCCUUUUUGUCAGUUUUCUCCCAUUUUGUUUGUGUGUUUUUUGUAAUAACUCAGAAAAUAAAAGACGUGAAGGAAAGGUGCAAGUUCCCAUUGCAUCUGGGGCAAA